This 383-nucleotide ribosomal RNA is filed under the name uncultured Streptococcus sp. RNAcentral describes it as "bacterial SSU rRNA". It matches the Rfam family "Bacterial small subunit ribosomal RNA", at positions 996 to 1382 of the family's 1533-position model. The record is from RNAcentral. Lineage: Bacteria; Bacillati; Bacillota; Bacilli; Lactobacillales; Streptococcaceae.
AUUUCUAGAGGUAGAAGUUACUUCGGUACAUCGGUGACAGGUGGUGCAUGGUUGUCGUCAGCUCGUGUCGUGAGAUGUUGGGUUAAGUCCCGCAACGAGCGCAACCCCUAUUGUUAGUUGCCAUCAUUCAGUUGGGCACUCUAGCGAGACUGCCGGUAAUAAACCGGAGGAAGGUGGGGAUGACGUCAAAUCAUCAUGCCCCUUAUGACCUGGGCUACACACGUGCUACAAUGGUUGGUACAACGAGUUGCGAGUCGGUGACGGCGAGCUAAUCUCUUAAAGCCAAUCUCAGUUCGGAUUGUAGGCUGCAACUCGCCUACAUGAAGUCGGAAUCGCUAGUAAUCGCGGAUCAGCACGCCGCGGUGAAUACGUUCCCGGGCCUU